RNAcentral lists this unclassified non-coding RNA (307 nucleotides) under plant metagenome. RNAcentral's name for it is "partial contains 5.8S ribosomal RNA, internal transcribed spacer 2, and large subunit ribosomal RNA". The stretch from base 1 to 106 matches the Rfam family "5.8S ribosomal RNA", at positions 49 to 154 of the family's 154-position model. The record is from RNAcentral.
CGAAAUGCGAUAAGUAAUGUGAAUUGCAGAAUUCAGUGAAUCAUCGAAUCUUUGAACGCACAUUGCGCCCGCCAGUAUUCUGGCGGGCAUGCCUGUCCGAGCGUCAUUUCAACCAUCAAGCCCCCCGGCUUGUGUUGGGGACCUGCGGCUGCCCGCAGGCCCUGAAAACCAGUGGCGGGCUCGCUGUCACACCGAGCGUAGUAGCAAUCACCUCGCUCAGGGCGUGCUGCGGGUUCCGGCCGUUAAACAGCCUUACAAAACCCAAGGUUGACCUCGGAUCAGGUAGGAAGACCCGCCGAACUUAAGC